GUUCCAGAACCUCUCUGUGCCCAGUUCCAAAGACCAGACAAACGGGAUGCUGUGAGCAGGCACAGGUCCAGGUUUUAAAGUGCACGUAAGGCUGCACUCCUCUAAUGUGGCUAUAACAGAAGGUGCAUCCUCACACCUGUGACCAUCAUCUCAUCUGGCAGGAGAACAAAAACAGCUGGUGGCCAGUCACUCAUCUGUAUUUUGUUGUUUUUCAAUAAAGAAUGACAAAUUA
Non-coding RNA from Nothobranchius furzeri (turquoise killifish), 232 nucleotides. The record is from RefSeq and is a predicted model, not a curated record. NCBI's taxonomy places the organism in Eukaryota, Metazoa, Chordata, Actinopteri, Cyprinodontiformes, Nothobranchiidae.